GACGAACGCUGGCGGCGUGCCUAAUACAUGCAAGUCGAACGAAGCUGUUUUAACUGGUGCUUGCACCGACUUAAACAACUGAGUGGCGAACGGGUGAGUAACACGUGGGUAACCUGCCCCAAAGCGGGGGAUAACAUUUGGAAACAGAUGCUAAUACCGCAUAACCACAGAAACCACAUGGUUUCUGUGUCAAAGAUGGUUUCGGCUAUCACUUUGGGAUGGACCCGCGGCGUAUUAGCUAGUUGGUAAGGUAAUGGCUUACCAAGGCAAUGAAAGGUAGCCGAACUGAGAGGUUGAUCGGCCACAUUGGGACUGAGAAACGGCCCAAACUCCUACGGGAGGCAGCAGUAGGGAAGCUUCCACAAUGGACGAAAGUCUGAUGGAGCAACGCCGCGUGAGUGAAGAAGGUUUUCGGAUCGUAAAACUCUGUUGUCAGAGAAGAACGUGUGCGAGAGUAACUGUUCGUGCAGUGACGGUAUCUGGCCAGAAAGCCACGGCUAACUACGUGCCAGCAGCCGCCGUAA
This 524-nucleotide ribosomal RNA is filed under the name uncultured bacterium. RNAcentral's name for it is "partial 16S ribosomal RNA". It matches the Rfam family "Bacterial small subunit ribosomal RNA", at positions 28 to 523 of the family's 1533-position model. The record is from RNAcentral.